RNAcentral lists this unclassified non-coding RNA (321 nucleotides) under Hevea brasiliensis (rubber tree). The record is from RNAcentral. Lineage: Eukaryota; Viridiplantae; Streptophyta; Magnoliopsida; Malpighiales; Euphorbiaceae.
GUACAGUUGGACACCCAAUCAUCUUUCUGGAGUCUUUUCUCUACAUUUUCAUAACUGCUGACGUUUCCGACUAGGAAGUUGGAAUUUUCAGAAUAUGAAGAAAUAGGUUUAAAGGAACUGAUAUCAUCUAUGUCAAAGUUGAUUUUGUGACACCCCAAAAUUUAUACUAUUGAUACAAACUUAGGACAACUACACCCCAAAGUGAGCUAUUGAAGUUGAAGAGCCCAAUUCCAUAUAUACUCUAUAUUGAAAUCUCAUACUUUCAAUGAGACAUAAGUUUGAGAUGACAAUUGAGUCACCGGAUUAUUAAUCCUUGCCCUU